RNAcentral lists this unclassified non-coding RNA (292 nucleotides) under uncultured fungus. RNAcentral describes it as "sequence contains ITS1". The record is from RNAcentral. Lineage: Eukaryota; Fungi.
GGACUCUAGGGUUUCUAAUCCUGUUUGCUCCCCACGCUUUCGUACCUCAGCGUCAAUAUAUGUCCAGUUAGUCGCCUUCGCCACUGGUGUUCUUCCGAAUAUCUACGAAUUUCACCUCUACACUCGGAAUUCCACUAACCUCUCCAUAAUUCUAGCGAUCUAGUUUCAAAGGCAGUUCUGGAGUUGAGCUCCAGGCUUUCACCUCUGACUUGAAUCACCGCCUACGUACUCUUUACGCCCAGUAAUUCCGAACAACGCUAGCUCCCUCCGUAUUACCGCGGCGGCUGGCACU